RNAcentral lists this long non-coding RNA (523 nucleotides) under Ananas comosus (pineapple). RNAcentral's name for it is "long non-coding RNA (ACOM_LNC042865)". Lineage: Eukaryota; Viridiplantae; Streptophyta; Magnoliopsida; Poales; Bromeliaceae. The record is from RNAcentral.
GAAAUACGAAUCCGAUCCGACAGAUUUCAAAAAUUUCUAUACAAAUCCGAAUCCGACCAAAAAUUUAAAAUCCAAGCCGAAAUAAUUAUUUUUCUUUUCAAUAUUUCAAAAUAGACUAUAUUAAAUCUAAAUUUUUAAGAUACAAAUUCAAAUAUAAUAUUAAAUUUUUAUAUACAUAUUAUAUAUAAUAUAAAAUAAAUUCAGGUUCGGGUUCAGAUGAGGUACCACCAAAAUUCAUAUCCGUCAGGCUUUUGUUUUUGAUAUUAAUAUUCGAAAUCAUAUCCGUUUAGUAUCAAAUAAAUUCGCCUCCUUCGAAUUCAGAUUUUGAUAAAAUUUUGAAUAUCUAUAUCCAUUUACAUCCCUAAAUGUGGGUUCGUGCGCGCAGUUGUUGGAUUGUUGACAUUCUUGCCCACCUCGAAUAAUAACCUAACUCAAUUAUUUAUUUCUUUUUUUUAUUAUUUUUAAAAUUUUUAAUUAAAAAUAAUUUUAUAAAGUAAGAUCAUAAAAAAUGAUCUUACUUUAU